UGAGGAAUAUUGGUCAAUGGGUGCAAGCCUGAACCAGCCAUCCCGCGUGAAGGACGACUGCCCUAUGGGUUGUAAACUUCUUUUGUAUAGGGAUAAACCUACCCUCGUGAGGGUAGCUGAAGGUACUAUACGAAUAAGCACCGGCUAACUCCGUGCCAGCAGCCGCGGUAAUACGGAGGGUGCAAGCGUUAUCCGGAUUUAUUGGGUUUAAAGGGUCCGUAGGCGGACUUAUAAGUCAGUGGUGAAAGCCUGUCGCUUAACGAUAGAACUGCCAUUGAUACUGUAAGUCUUGAGUAUAUUUGAGGUAGCUGGAAUAAGUAGUGUCGCGGUGAAAUGCAUAGAUAUUACUUAGAACACCAAUUGCGAAGGCAGGUUACCAAGAUAUAACUGACGCUGAGGGACGAAAGCGUGGGGAGCGAACA
RNAcentral lists this ribosomal RNA (422 nucleotides) under uncultured bacterium. RNAcentral describes it as "bacterial SSU rRNA". It matches the Rfam family "Bacterial small subunit ribosomal RNA", at positions 355 to 774 of the family's 1533-position model. The record is from RNAcentral.